UCGUGCUGUUGUUGUUGCUGCCGCUACUGGUCGACUGCCUGUUGCUGCUCUGCUCUCAUUUGCCUAUGUUUGCUAUCCCGCUUGUUCUCGGCUGGACGUAAUAAGCUUACUGCAACUGUGUGGGUGCAUAUGAAGAGCGCUGCUCGCUCACACGCAUAUACAACAACAUCAAUAUCAAACACAACAACUACAUUCGUAUAGCUUUCGUGCUGUGCUGUUUACGACCAACCGACCGACCGACCAAGUAGUCAGCCAGCCAGGCAGGCAGACAGCAGCUGGGGCUGAUUUCAGUUUGAUUUUGUCAGUGGCCGCGUUCGGUUGUCGUCGGCGAGUUAACGGGACGCGCCUACCAAAAGCCGCUCAAAGCCCAGCUUUUACUUAAGUCUCGAGCCACAAAAACAGAGUCGAGCAGAUAAAAGAAGCAGCACUAAAAGUGUUUUUAUUUUUUAUUUUCUAAAUUCGUUUCGUUAAAUUCGUUUUUAGUUGUGUGAUUUAUACUAUUAUUUGUUCUGCGCGUUAUCAACGUUUUCAUGUAAAAGACACAAACAAAGCUGCAGCUGUUAUCAGAGCUGCAUUUGUAUGUAUGGAGUACAUUGUUCAUAAAUAAGUAACAGAAUCAACGUGUUGCCAUCUUAUCAGCUACGUAAAAAGAAAAACAA
Drosophila navojoa is the source of this 659-nucleotide long non-coding RNA. Lineage: Eukaryota; Metazoa; Arthropoda; Insecta; Diptera; Drosophilidae. The record is from RefSeq and is a predicted model, not a curated record.